ACCCCUUUUCAUAUAAUAAAUAUUUAUAUUUUUUUUAUUCAUAGAUGAAAUGGUUCGAUUUCGGGUAUGGAUUUGGGUCGGAUACCCCAAUAACCAUAACCAAACCCAAAAUCGAAAAAUUUACUCGACGGUUACCCAUAACCGUAAAAUACUCAAAUUUUAUACCCGAAAUCGAACCAUUCAAAUGGGUUACUUGCGGGGAUUAGAUUUGAUGGGUUAUAUUGUCAUCCCUAGGUUUAACUUCCAUUUUUCUUACUACCGAAGCCACUAAUCCGGGUAUAAUUACUUUGAACAACUAGUUGAUCUUCGAUGAUUUGUACAUUAUGGCUUAUUGCUUUUUAGUUAAAAAGGAGUUCUGAUAUUGGUGUAAUUCUUUAUUUUAGUAUCUGGCAAUAGAAAUCAAUAUAAGUGGUUUAUGUGUAUUUUCGUUGUAAAUUAUUUUAGUUUUUUUUAUGAAAAUUUAUCAAUAUUUCGUUAAAUUGUCACUGAACAAUCACGUGACCACAUUUUUAAGAAUAUUUUUGUCAAACCAACCACUCUACUUAACGAGGAUAUUAAUAAAAAAUUUCACUAAAUAACCAAAAUAAUUUACAGUAAAAAAACUUGAGAUUCUCUCUAUUAUCUUUCAUUGUUAGAAAUUAAAAUGAGAAGUCAUGAUAGUUCCAGAUAUCAUCUUAACUAGAACACCAAUGACUAAUUGAUUAAGGGGGUCCACUCCCUUGCAUUAUAUGGGUUGGGCAGUCCACUUGUUUUUUUUUUUUUUAACUCAAUAAUUGAGUUACAGAAUUGAUUGCAAAUUGUAAAGUUUUCAAAAAAUUUAUUUCCCAUUUUCUAUCUUUCCUUUCCCUAUAAGUUGAUUUUGUUUCCUUUGAUUUCUUGUCCGAAUCCAAUUUCUCAAAU
RNAcentral lists this long non-coding RNA (900 nucleotides) under Malus domestica (apple). RNAcentral describes it as "long non-coding RNA (MDOM_LNC008905)". The record is from RNAcentral. Lineage: Eukaryota; Viridiplantae; Streptophyta; Magnoliopsida; Rosales; Rosaceae.